UCGGAACAUCUUCUUCGAAGAUGAAAGGGAUAACGUGACAUAUUGUAUUCAGUUUUGAAUGUUUAUUAACAUUCAAAUUUGUAUAUUGAAAACUAGAUAAGUAAGUAAAUAGAUUUUACCAAGCAAAACCGAGUGAAUAGAGUUUUAAAUAAGCUUGAAUUCAUAAAAAUAAUCGCUAGUGUUCGAAAGAACACUCACAAGAUUAAUAACGCGUUUCCUGGUGGAAACAUAGAUUAAGUUAUUAAGGGCGCACGGUGGAUGCCUUGGC
Molecule: unclassified non-coding RNA, 268 nt
Filed under: uncultured bacterium
Lineage: Bacteria
Description: partial 16S-23S ribosomal RNA intergenic spacer
Source: RNAcentral